Asterophora parasitica is the source of this 96-nucleotide non-coding RNA. Lineage: Eukaryota; Fungi; Basidiomycota; Agaricomycetes; Agaricales; Lyophyllaceae. The record is from the annotation of a GenBank genome assembly.
UCCCUCUUAGCUCAGUGGUAGAGCGCGUCACUAGUAUUUGCUUACUCGAAGAGUCGAAAUAUGACGAGGUCAGUCGUUCAAGUCGGCUAGAGGGAA